UACGAAGGGGCUAGCGUUGCUCGGAAUCACUGGGCGUAAAGGGUGCGUAGGCGGGUCUUUAAGUCAGGGGUGAAAUCCGUGGAGCCUCAACUCCAGAACUGCCUUUGAUACUGAAGAUCUUGAGUUCGGGAGAGGUGAGUGGAACUGCGAGUGUAGAGGUGAAAUUCGUAGAUAUUCGCAAGAACACCAGUGGCGAAGGCGGCUCACUGGCCCGAUACUGACGCUGAGGCACGAAAGCGUGGGGAGCAAACAGG
RNAcentral lists this ribosomal RNA (254 nucleotides) under uncultured bacterium. RNAcentral's name for it is "partial 16S ribosomal RNA". It matches the Rfam family "Bacterial small subunit ribosomal RNA", at positions 524 to 776 of the family's 1533-position model. The record is from RNAcentral.